Molecule: ribosomal RNA, 169 nt
Filed under: Williopsis saturnus
Lineage: Eukaryota; Fungi; Ascomycota; Saccharomycetes; Phaffomycetales; Wickerhamomycetaceae
Also listed under: 3 other names
Description: Cyberlindnera saturnus partial 18S rRNA
Rfam family: Eukaryotic small subunit ribosomal RNA
Source: RNAcentral
GGGCCGCACGCGCGCUACACUGACGGAGCCAGCGAGUCUAACCUUGGCCGAGAGGUCAUGGGUAAUCUUGUGAAACUCCGUCGUGCUGGGGAUAGAGCAUUGCAAUUAUUGCUCUUCAACGAGGAAUUCCUAGUAAGCGCAAGUCAUCAGCUUGCGUUGAUUACGUCCC